UACGUAGGGGGCAGGCGUUGUCCGGAUUUAUUGGGCGUAAAGAGCGUGUAGGCGGCUUGACAGGUCUGCUGUGAAAACUCGAGGCUCAACCUCGAGAUGUCGGCGGAAACCGUCUGGCUAGAGUCCGGAAGAGGAGAGUGGAAUUCCUGGUGUAGCGGUGAAAUGCGCAGAUAUCAGGAAGAACACCUAUGGCGAAGGCAGCUCUCUGGGACGGUACUGACGCUGAGACGCGAAAGCGUGGGGAGCGAACAGG
Molecule: ribosomal RNA, 253 nt
Filed under: uncultured bacterium
Lineage: Bacteria
Description: partial 16S ribosomal RNA
Rfam family: Bacterial small subunit ribosomal RNA
Source: RNAcentral